GACGAAGGAUUCAAGCGUUGUCCGGAUUUACUGGGUUUAAAGGGUGCGUAGGCGGAAAGCUAAGUCAGUGGUGAAAGCCCGCAGCUCAACUGCGGAACUGCCAUUGAAACUGGCCUUCUUGAAUACAGUGGAGGUAGAUGGAAUAUAACAUGUAGCGGUGAAAUGCUUAGAUAUGUUAUAGAACACCGAUUGCGAAGGCAGUCUGCUACACUGUCAUUGACGCUGAGGCACGAAAGCGUGGGGAGCGAACAGG
RNAcentral lists this ribosomal RNA (253 nucleotides) under uncultured bacterium. RNAcentral's name for it is "partial 16S ribosomal RNA". It matches the Rfam family "Bacterial small subunit ribosomal RNA", at positions 524 to 776 of the family's 1533-position model. The record is from RNAcentral.